RNAcentral lists this ribosomal RNA (1447 nucleotides) under Chrysotila carterae. RNAcentral's name for it is "partial Bacterial large subunit ribosomal RNA". It matches the Rfam family "Bacterial large subunit ribosomal RNA", at positions 12 to 1516 of the family's 2925-position model. Lineage: Eukaryota; Haptophyta; Isochrysidales; Isochrysidaceae. The record is from RNAcentral.
UAAGCGCAUACGGUGGAUGCCUUGGCAGUCAGAGGCGAUGAAAGACGUGGAAGCCUGCGAUAAGGUUCGGGGAGCUGGCAAACAAGCUGUGAUCCGGGCAUUUCUGAAUGGGGAAACCCACCGACUUUCGGGUCGGUAUCUUGCACUGAAUACAUAGGUGUAAGAGGCGAACCGGGGGAACUGAAACAUCUAAGUACCCCGAGGAAAAGAAAUCAACCGAGAUUCCCUAAGUAGCGGCGAGCGAACGGGGACUAGCCCUUAAGCUAGACAACUGGUAGGAGAAGGCUCUGGAAAGUGCCGCCAUAGUGGGUGAUAGCCCCGUAUCCGAAACCUGAGUCUGGUGAAAUCGAGUAGGACGGGACACGUGAAAUCCUGUCUGAACAUGGGGGGACCAUCCUCCAAGGCUAAAUACUCCUGACUGACCGAUAGUGAACCAGUACCGUGAGGGAAAGGCGAAAAGAACCCCUGUGAGGGGAGUGAAAUAGAUCCUGAAACCGUAUGCGUACAAGCAGUCGGAGCGGACUUGUUCCGUGACGGCGUACCUUUUGUAUAAUGGGUCAGCGACUUAUGUUCAGUGGCGAGGUUAACCGUUUAGGGGAGCCGUAGGGAAACCGAGUCUGAAUAGGGCGAUUUAGUCGCUGGGCAUAGACCCGAAACCGGGCGAUCUAUCCAUGAGCAGGUUGAAGGUGCCGUAACAGGCACUGGAGGACCGAACCCACUGUCGUUGAAAAGCCAGGGGAUGACUUGUGGAUCGGAGUGAAAGGCUAAUCAAGCCCGGAGAUAGCUGGUUCUCCCCGAAAGCUAUUUAGGUAGCGCCUCGGACGAAUACCACAGGGGGUAGAGCACUGUUUCGGCUAGGGGGUCAUCCCGACUUACCAACCCGAUGCAAACUCCGAAUACCUGUGAGUACUAUCCGGGAGACACACGGCGGGUGCUAACGUCCGUCGUGAAGAGGGAAACAACCCAGACCGCCAGCUAAGGUCCCCAAGUACCAGUUAAGUGGGAAACGAUGUGGGAAGGCUCAGACAGCUAGGAGGUUGGCUUAGAAGCAGCCAUCCUUUAAAGAAAGCGUAAUAGCUCACUAGUCGAGUCGGCCUGCGCGGAAGAUGUAACGGGGCUCAAACUGGUCACCGAAGCUGCGGCUGCAUACUUUGUAUGCGGGGUAGGGGAGCGUUCUGUAAGCCUGCGAAGGUGUGUUGAGAAGCAUGCUGGAGGUAUCAGAAGUGCGAAUGCUGACAUGAGUAACGACAAUGCGGGUGAAAAACCCGCACGCCGGAAGACCAAGGGUUCCUGCGCAACGCUAAUCGGCGCAGGGUGAGUCGGCCCCUAAGGCGAGGCAGAGAUGCGUAGCUGAUGGGAAGCAGGUUAAUAUUCCUGCACCGUCGUAUGAUGCGAUGGGGGGACGGAUCGCGGAAGGUUGUCCAGCUGUUGGAAUAGCUGGUUUCUG